UACGUAGGGUGCAAGCGUUGUCCGGAAUUAUUGGGCGUAAAGAGCUCGUAGGCGGUUUGUCGCGUCUGCUGUGAAAACCUAAGGCUCAACCUUGGGCUUGCAGUGGGUACGGGCAGACUAGAGUGCGGUAGGGGUGACUGGAAUUCCUGGUGUAGCGGUGGAAUGCGCAGAUAUCAGGAGGAACACCGAUGGCGAAGGCAGGUCACUGGGCCGCAACUGACGCUGGAG
RNAcentral lists this ribosomal RNA (228 nucleotides) under uncultured bacterium. RNAcentral describes it as "partial 16S ribosomal RNA". It matches the Rfam family "Bacterial small subunit ribosomal RNA", at positions 524 to 751 of the family's 1533-position model. The record is from RNAcentral.